GAAGAGGUUUGGCAGUAACAAAGUUUAGCUAUUCUGCUGGCCAUCACUCCGGAAAGUGUUCCCACGAAGUGGCUGACUUAAAAAGUAAGCUUGACUAAGUAUCAUAUCACAUGAGCAGCACUGGAAAGAGGCAGAGCUGAGGGAAAGAGGGAAGCUUCUGUGUAGACGUCGACUUUACUCUUUGACCACCAUACCUUGCCUUUCAGUUUGUGGGUAGCUUAGGAAACCGAAGUCAGACAACAUAAUUGGCUUUUGGGGGAUAAGAAUUGUGUCUUUCGGAUGUUUCUCAUAGUGCUUUACAGGAUAUACCCUCAAAAGAAGCUGAAAAAAUUUUAAAAAGAAAGUCUGACACAUUUCAAUGCUGUGUUCAAGCCUUCUGUUUUCCAAAAGAGGCCAUCAGGUAUCACAGCAAAUCACUUUUGUGGAUUAUAAAAGGAAGGUGACUUGCAGCUCUAAAAUCUUAAAUUCUCUGCUCCAUGUUCUGUGUUUUAUAAAUAAGCAUAAUUGGUAUUCAGAAAAGAAAUCUGCAAUCUCAGCCUACUUCAGGAUGUUGAUCUCACUCCGGACAAGUAAACACCAAUACCACCAACCUGAGUAGGCCUUCCAUGAAAUACUGGGGACACUAAGAAGCCACACCCCCUGAAACAUUCUAUGGUCAUUCAGCAUUUGAAGCAAAUUGGAAAGGUGAAAAACCUGAUAAGUGGGUGCCUCAUGAGCUCACCGAAAAUUUUUUUAAAAAUUGUCGUUUUGAAGUGUCAUCUUCUCUUAUUCUAUGCAACAACAAUGAACCAUUUCUUGAUUGGAUUGUGAUGUGCGAGGAAAAGUGGAUUUUAUAUGACAACUGGCGAUGACCAGCUCAGUGGUUGGACCGAGAAGAAGCUCCAAAACACUUCCCAAAGCCAAACUUGCACCAAAAAAGGUCCUGGUCACUGCUUGGUGGGCUGCUGCUGGUCUGAUCCACUGCAGCUUUCUGAAUCCCUGGGAAACCAUUACACCUGAGAAGUAUGCUCAGCAAACCAAUGAGAUGCACCAAAAACUGCAAUGCCUGCAGCUGGCUUUGGUCAACAGGAAGGGCCCAAUUCUUCUCCACCACAAUGUCCGACUGCACAUCACAACCCACGCUUCAGAAGUUGAACAAAUUGGGCUACGAAGUUUUGCCUCAUCUCCCAUGUUCACCUGACCUCUCGCUGAGAAGUAGCUUUGGAGCUUCUUCUCGGUCCAAACACUGAGCUGGUCAUCGCCGGUUGUCAUAUAAAAUCCACUUUUCCUCGCACAUCACAAUCCAAUCAAGAAAUGGUUCAUUGUUGUUGCAUAGAAUAAGAGAAGAUGACACUUCAAAACUACCACUUCUUCAAGCAUCUCAACAACUUUUUGCAGGGAAAAUGCUUCCACAACCAGCAGGAUGCAGAAAAUGCUCUCCAAAAGUUUGUCAAAUCCUGAAGCAUGGAUUUUUAGGCUACAGGAAUAAACGUAUUUCUCACUGGCAGAAAUUUAUUGAUUGUAAUGAUUCCUUUUUUGGUUAAAGACAUGUUUGAGCCUAGUUAUAACGACUUACAAUUCACGGUCCAAAACUGCAAGUACUUUUUGCACCAGCGAGAUGUGCAUAUGAGAAGCUUAUUUCACCAAGCCUCUUAUCUAGUCAUCUGUAUAAUUAUUUCAAGCACAGGAGGGACCCUACUUCUUACUGGGGAGGAUUAAGGAAGGCUUCCUGGAGGAUUGUCUCAGAGCUUGCUGCAGGUGCAUAUUGAAAAGCAAUUCAUUACAAUUUUCUAUAAGAGACUGUGGCUGAACAAUGAUACACAGAUUAGCAAACUGAGGCUUGGAGAAGUGGAAAACUUGCCUAAGAUUAAACAGCAUUAAAGGAACAGAGGCUGGGCUUGCAACUCAGCUCUGGGACUCCAAAGUCUGCCCUUUCCAACUACAUCGUCUUGCUGAUCGCGAGCUCAGUUGAUGGUAAAGACCUGUGAUUUUGGCCAUUACAAACAGUGCUGUUGUGAAUGUUGUGCCUGCCUGUCUUCCAGCUGGACAUAGGAGGAUGCUCCUGGAAAUCUGGGCCAGCCACAGAACCCUGUUUGUGCUGCGGACGCUGUGUGGAGACGUUUUGCAAUGCCCGAGGGAGGCUGGCACACCAGGGAUGCAGAGACAGUCAGCCGGAGCCCAAUGAGAGCUGGCGAGGUGGCUCACACCUGUAGUCCCAGCACUUUGGAAGGCAAAGGCGGGAGGAUUGCUUGACUUCAGGAAUUUGAGACCAGCCCAGGCAAC
RNAcentral lists this long non-coding RNA (2262 nucleotides) under Homo sapiens (human). RNAcentral's name for it is "LHRI_LNC1968.1". Lineage: Eukaryota; Metazoa; Chordata; Mammalia; Primates; Hominidae. The record is from RNAcentral.